CCAGGGGGCAGAUGCUCAAUGCAGGAGCUGCCUCCUGAUGGUCAGUGUGCUCCCUCAGGGGAGCGCCUCUCAACCACAAGCUGGGCUCAUGGCUGGCGAGCACAGCAGCAGUGGCAGGAGCCUCUCCCGCCUCCAGUUGGACAUCCCCCG
Long non-coding RNA from Myotis brandtii (Brandt's bat), 150 nucleotides. RefSeq lists it as uncharacterized. The transcript has 3 exons. NCBI's taxonomy places the organism in Eukaryota, Metazoa, Chordata, Mammalia, Chiroptera, Vespertilionidae. The record is from RefSeq and is a predicted model, not a curated record.